RNAcentral lists this unclassified non-coding RNA (371 nucleotides) under Hevea brasiliensis (rubber tree). Lineage: Eukaryota; Viridiplantae; Streptophyta; Magnoliopsida; Malpighiales; Euphorbiaceae. The record is from RNAcentral.
GAGUCAUACUCUACCACCUUCCCUACAUUAAUCAAAAUGAUUGCAACAAUAAAUUCAAAUUGUUCAGAAAAAGCAGAAUGCAGUUUGACAAUAAGUUAUCCACCUACUUCUAUUCAUCUCUGCAUUAUAUCCAAUUAUCCAUGUCUCAGUUUAUGCUUAUAGUUAUUAGAUAGUAAUUCUCACUCUUAUUUUCUAAAGCCAAACCUAGAAAAGCAAAUGCACUAGCAUUUAUGAAGCAUGUAUUUCUUAUGAAUCAUUGGCUGGCUCAUGUUCAAAGCCUAGCAGAGUGAGUUUUAAGUUAUUUCCAUGAAAGAAUACUUCAUCUUCUGUAGGAUAAUUUCAGCUAACCUUCAUCAAGAACCAAAACCAAG